AUGUUAUAUGAAAGGAGGGACAGUUAGAACUCCCCUUGACAAGGAUGGAGGUCUGUCCAUAGGCCCAGAGGACGCACAUAUGAUUAAGGUAUCUACUUUGGGGCAUCUAACCAUUGGUUUUC
Eptesicus fuscus (big brown bat) is the source of this 122-nucleotide small nuclear RNA. NCBI's taxonomy places the organism in Eukaryota, Metazoa, Chordata, Mammalia, Chiroptera, Vespertilionidae. The record is from RefSeq and is a predicted model, not a curated record.